UACGUAGGGUCCGAGCGUUGUCCGGAAUUAUUGGGCGUAAAGGGCUCGUAGGCGGUUUGUCGCGUCGGGAGUGAAAACCUACGGCUUAACUGUGGGCUUGCUUUCGAUACGGGCAGACUUGAGGCAUGCAGGGGAGAACGGAAUUCCUGGUGUAGCGGUGAAAUGCGCAGAUAUCAGGAGGAACACCGGUGGCGAAGGCGGAUCUCUGGGCCAUUACUGACGCUGAGGAGCGAAAGCGUGGGGAGCGAACAGG
Molecule: ribosomal RNA, 253 nt
Filed under: uncultured bacterium
Lineage: Bacteria
Description: partial 16S ribosomal RNA
Rfam family: Bacterial small subunit ribosomal RNA
Source: RNAcentral